This 513-nucleotide ribosomal RNA is filed under the name uncultured bacterium. RNAcentral's name for it is "bacterial SSU rRNA". It matches the Rfam family "Bacterial small subunit ribosomal RNA", at positions 34 to 518 of the family's 1533-position model. The record is from RNAcentral.
CGCUGGCGGCGUGCUUAACACAUGCAAGUCGAACGGGGCGAUUUAAGCUUGCUUAGAUGAGCCUAGUGGCAAACGGGUGAGUAACGCGUAGGCAACCUGCCUCUAAGAUGGGGACAACAGCCCGAAAGGGCUGCUAAUACCGAAUGUUGUGAGUUUUCCGCAUGGAGAGCUCAUUAAAGAUGGCCUCUACUUGUAAGCUAUCACUUAGAGAUGGGCCUGCGUCUGAUUAGCUAGUUGGUGAGGUAACGGCUCACCAAGGCGACGAUCAGUAGCCGGUCUGAGAGGAUGAACGGCCACAUUGGGACUGAGACACGGCCCAGACUCCUACGGGAGGCAGCAGUGGGGAAUCUUCCGCAAUGGGCGAAAGCCUGACGGAGCAACGCCGCCGUGAGUGAAGAGGGUCUUCGGAUCGUAAAGCUCUGUCGAAGGGGACGAACGUAACCUUUAUCAACAACGAAGGUUAAUGACGGUACCUUUCAAGAAAGCCACGGCUAACUACGUGCCAGCAGCGGC